CCGGACGCACAGGCGCAGCAGCCAUGGCUCACGGGCCCAGCCGCUCCGCAGCAUGUGGGAUCUUCCCGGACCGGGGCACAAACUCAUGUCCCCUGCAUCGGCAGGCAGACUCUCAACCACUGCGCCACCACGGAAGCCCCUGACGAGAUUUUUUUUAAAUAACAUUUCAGUUGGGUGACUUCCUGUCCUCUGUCAGAAGUAUUCCAGAUGACAUUCCUACUGGUGAUGAUGGGGGCCACAUCAGUCUGUCAGUUACUUUGGACCACUGAUUUUGCUGCAGGGUUCUCUGCAGUACGGAACAGCCCCCCACCUUCUCUGCCUUGGGAACAGUGCACUCUCCUUUUGGUGACCUGGAUUGCGUGCGUAUACGGAGGCUGGGAGGGUUCAGGACCAUGUUCCCUUUCUUUAGUCACAUGUAUUCUAUUUGAAAAGCGUAAGAGCCAGAAAUACAAGUGUACCCUUCCUGGUGUGGACCCAGACGUCUGUGAACACGUAAGUGACUGGGACUGGACACAGUGUGAUGGCUCCUGAGCUCACCUGGCUUAGAGGAUGCAGGUCACUUUAGGAAAUUAGGCAUUAGCACUCAUAAGGGGGAAGAUGCCUGGCAAAAUCCCCAGAUGCCCUGCGUCCAGCACAUGGGGAAACUAGCCAUAGCAAGGUCCUGAGAAUUACCCCUCCAGGCACAGGUACCUAAAGCAGGAUGUCAGGUGGACAGAAUCUGUAUUUCCUGUUCAUGCACAAAUCAGGAGGUUCCUCUGCCCUCCUGCUUUCUCUCCCCUCCCCUACUCUAUCUUUUUUUAAAGAGCUUAAACUCCAACCCCACUCCUUUCGUGGACCCUUAAUAAGCGAGCCUGUUUGUACGGUUCUUUACAAGAAACCUGAAUUUUGAUUUCCGUGCUGGUCUUAGUCCUCAGCUGGUUUUCCAGCUCAGUAUCUAACAAAACUCGGUCUGAAUGUCUUCAUCUUUUCCCUUAAGUAUGCCAAGUACCUCAGCUGAGAAGUCACAGGUUCAGGAAGAAAGGCUUGACUCAAACCAGCCAUCUUCCUGGAAUUUGUCUCUGAACUCUUUAAAAACCAAAAUCCCGAGCUGCAGUGUCCAUGUCGCUGCCUGAGUGGUGUCCCUUUGCCGCCGCAUGGAGCUAUGGGCUCUUCCCUCUUCUCCAGGCUCCUCUGCAGUCUCUCCUCCUGUUAAUUAGCUGUGUCAGCGUUGGCAGGCACCUCUCUUCCUCCCCCCUGCUAUGCUGUGUUCUUAAGAAUUUUGGCGUCAUUUCUGAACAAAUGUCAUAUAGAUGGCACUAUGGAACUCAUGUCUAGAAAACUGGCUCUUAACAUAUGUUUAUCAAAUGUGUUGUGACUUUUCUGACACUAACGCAGAAACAUGUUAAUCGGGAAUAAUUUAUUCUUUAUAUAAAACGUUUGAGACUGUUUAGCCUUUUAUCGGAAUUUCAUUUGGAAAAUAUCAGUCUUUCUACAGAUUUAUAACCUAUGUUCCUCUGAUUAUAACCCAAACCAUUUCUUAACCCUUUCAUUACUUAAGCAAAUAUUCAAUUACAUUUUACUGUAAAUAGAGUGGGCAUAUUUUUAUGAUCUAAAAUAAAAUAGUUAAUUCUCUAUAUGUGACUAAUAUACUUUUCUAUCUGUUCCAAUUGAAUGUGAAAACUAGAACAACUUCUGCCUUCGCUGUGUUUCAACUAUUAUUCCCUCCGAUUGUGAAUGGUAACAUGGCUAUAUUAUUUUUUAAAUCGAAUACCUAAACAUUCGGAUUUGCAUAGAGGAUACAUUUGAAAGUGAUUGUUUGAUUUACAAAAUAAAUUUUUUACUCUUCAAAAGAUUUCUUUUUGCAUGCUCAUGUAAAGUGCUUUAACUCCUUGCUUGAGGGGAAAUGAGGUUUAUACGCAAGUUUUUAACAACUGCUGAAGAUUCAGGUUACAGGUGAUAAAAUCCAAAUCAGACUAGCUUGAGCAAAGAAUUUGCUUUUCUUGGCUUACAUGAUCAAAGUUCAGGAAGAGCAAAACGAAAAUGCCAUCAGAACUCACCUCCCGGCACCUCACACCUCCGCUUUUUCUCUCAAACCAACUUCACGUGUGGAGGAGCAGCCAGCACAUGCCCGAAGUCUUAGGAUGGGAGAGUUCCACUUUGGAAAAGCCUGGAAGGAAGAAUCCAGAGCAAGUAGCUAAGGUAGCAGCCAGAGGAAGGGUCCUGGGAGGGUCCUCCAUGCUUCUGCCCCAGGACCUGUUCAGCAAAUGUGCCACCCCUGAAAAGUUGGACUCUUCUGAGUUUCCUGCAAAAGCUGAUCUUCCACGGGACAGAUGUCUGCUCGAGAGGAAAGCAAAGGAACGUGUUGGGAAAGUGGAUAAAUGAAAGCCUGGAAAUUAAUUUUCUCCAACCGUAAAUCUUAACUAAAGUUAGAGAGUCACAUAAAAACUGCCUAGGUUUGAGGGGGAGCCGUAAAGUUUCCCAAAGGCCCUACAUGAUCUGCAAACCCAGUCUUCGUGUGAAAAUGGUGUCCCAGGUGUUGGUCAUCCAUCUGCCUUCUCACCUCAAUCCCACGUUCGCAUCUGUGGUGUGCAGACAAACUAAAAACCUGUUCUUUGCCAUGGAUCUUUGAUUUCUUUAAAAGUAAGAAAAUUGUUUUAAAGAAAGACAUUUUCUAGGAACAGCUUUGUCUCUGGAAUCUAAACCCCUGGCAUUCCACAGCAGAGUCUCACCACCGUUCAGUGUGCUGGCAGCCAUGUCUCUACUUUAGUUCUGCAGUUUCCACUGGAGAAUCAGACUAAGACAUCGGCAAGGGAUCGUGGUGGCCACCGUCAGCCACAGAGUCUGAGCCCGGGCAUUUCUAACAAAUAGGGAGCAGUGAGCUUCUGCUCUUUCACAUUUUGCAGACGAGGAAAUCAAGGCAGAGAGAGUUGAAAUAACUUGCCCGAGAGUACCCAGCUGCCAAGUGGUGACUCCAGAUUCAAACCCAAGGAUUCUGACUCCAAAGAAUAGAGACCCUACCCAACUGAGAGCACUUGAGCACAGGCUCCGGAUGCGCAGGCUCAGCGGCCAUGGCUCACAGGCCCAGCCGCUCCAUGGCAUGUGGGAUCUUCCUGGACCGGGGCACGAACCUGUGUCCCCUGCAUCGGCAGGCGGACUCUCAACCACUGAGCCACCAGGGAAGCUUGAACACGUUUUGUAAGCUGUAAACCCAUACGUGCAUGGAAACAUAAUGUAGUCCAUGUGUAUUAACUGGAAUCCUACUUACACCGCCACCCAAGCAAGUCCGUUUCCCUUAGCUUGCUCCCUAGCAGCCGCCCCAGAGCACCGACACAGACGAUGCAGUAUCCCAGCAAAAGAACUUAAUCCUCUGAAUGGCUACUGUAUAGAUUGCAGUAGGUAUUAGAGGAAUAUAGAGGACCUAGUGGGAAUAAGUGUUAUACCACAGCAGCCUUUCAUAUAAAUCCCAGGGUGAUUGUGACUAUUCACAUUUUUCUUUGGAGGUCUUUCUAUAAAAGGAUUGGUACUGGCAUGGAGCCCACUGUCCAAGCCUUAGAUUCAUCUAAAGUUUAGGCCUUAACUAAUUCCUUACUGUUUAGUUCUGCACCCUUCUUUCUGUGACACGAUCAUCAACUAGGAUAUUUCACUCUUAAUCAACCAAGUCAACCAUCGGCAGCACUUUUCAAAAACUUCAGCCACUUUUCAAGUUUCCCAGGAAGCUGGGCUACCCAAAUCCUGACCAGGCCCUUGGGAAUGCUCACAUCCUUUCCAAAUUCUGCUUUAUUUGUGUGAAACCUUUCUUGCUUCCUCUCAGCUUUCCAUGGAAACCUUGUGUCUCGUCCUCUUCUCAAGCAAAGCAAGACUUCAGAUCUCAAGGAGGUGGGAGGAAGAGUAGGCACACAGGGCACACCAUGCUUUCACCCCAAAUGUUUGUAUAUAUUAUACACACACACACACAACUGCACGAGAAUAGGCACGUCCACAGAGACAGGAAGGGGACUGAUAGUUGCCUGGGGCUGGGGGCUGUGGGAAAAUGGAGAGUGAAAGCUAAUUCUACUGUUUCUACAGGGUUUCUGUUUGGAGUGAUGAAAAUGUUCUAAAAACCAAUUUGGGUGAUGGUUGUACAACUUGGUGAAUGUAAUGAGAACCACUGAAUGGCAUAUUUUAAAUGGGUAAAUUGUAC
Mesoplodon densirostris (Blainville's beaked whale) is the source of this 4159-nucleotide long non-coding RNA. RefSeq lists it as uncharacterized. The record is from RefSeq and is a predicted model, not a curated record. The transcript has 3 exons. Lineage: Eukaryota; Metazoa; Chordata; Mammalia; Artiodactyla; Ziphiidae.